Strigops habroptila (Kakapo) is the source of this 4536-nucleotide long non-coding RNA. RefSeq lists it as uncharacterized. The record is from RefSeq and is a predicted model, not a curated record. Lineage: Eukaryota; Metazoa; Chordata; Aves; Psittaciformes; Psittacidae. The transcript has 3 exons.
AGGCAGGAUUAGGACAUGCUAUGCAACACAACUGCUUUAAAUCCAUUUGCAGGAAUUCUUAAUUCCCAGACAUGUUUAAAUCUGAAAGUGGUUUGUUGGGUUUUUUUAAGUGUCGGUGCUGUUUUGUGAGCUGCGGGAAUGUGCCUUGGGAAAGCAGUUUGUGGGUAGAAGUUAACUGUCAUUUUGGGUAAUAAAAGGAGUAAUAGGGAGAGGUGAGACGGAAAGCCGAAAGAGCAGUACAGGUUGCAACUGGCAGUGAAGGCCAGGUGUUAGUUUAGAGAAGGUGUUUGGUAGCAGUGGAGCAGAGGGGGAACGCUGGUGGCGGAGGAGGCCCCAUGGGACGGGGCUGCUGACCUCUUGUGGAGAAAUCUGGGAGGGUGGGUGGCUGCUCGGGAGAGCAUCUGUGCUGCAAACAACCCCUGGAAUUACCAAGCUUUCCCUCUGGUGCUAUCCUGGAUACCUGCAGUCUAACACUGAACGAGUCUGGAAGAGGUGUGUCACCUCCAUACCCUUCCAGAUGUAGAGAGAAGCCUCGGCAUUUUGGCUGGAGGUCUGCUUCUGCUUGCUAUGCCAAACCUCAACACCUAGGUUGUGUGAGCGCAGCCGCUUGCCCAGCUGUUGUGCUGUAGGGAGGCUUGUUAGCGUAUGGAUAGUGCAUGGUGAUGCUGUGCUGCCUGUAGUCCCUUCUUACCUGCUCGGCUGAGCGCAGGAAGGUAAGUGUCAGUAGUCCUAGUCGCAGGGGGUGAAAUGGGGUCAGAACUUAGUUGCAGUUAUGACAAGUAUUUAUUAAGUUAGAAGUAGUUGGGAGAGGGUUGGUGACCGAUCUGCGGGGUACAGCCUGGUCUCACUUCUCUUGUCAGAUACAUGAUCAGUACUUCAGAUACCGAUUACUUAUGCCACUGUUUAAGAACAGGAUGAAACAUUGUUCAAACCGCAUUAUCUAUUUAUUGUUGCAGUAAGAAGUUGUCAGCAGAUGGCAGCAUCCGACUUCGAGGGCGAUCUGUGAGAGAGGCGUCCAGUGAGGCUUUGGCGUUGCUGGCAUCCCUGGGGUCCCUGCUCCUUCCGCAGAGCUGAACACUCUAACUUCUCCUGUGCUCUGGCCCACAAAGAGAAUUUGUUCUUGUCUUUGGUGCAACAGAGCCUGGUUUAAGAUAAUAUGGGAGGUGAGGUAAGCGUGGAUCUUCGAAAUACCCCAACAGGGUAAGAAGCCUGGCACGUAACAGUGGCUUCACUGGAAAAUACACUUUCUCCUUCUCAUCCUUUCAAUUUGUUUUCUACAACAGGUAAUUCAAUCAGAUCCAUUCCCCUAGCUGGAGCAUGUGUUUUGUUUCCCGAAUUCAUGUGCCAAUUACUUGCACCAGAAAUGCAAGCAGUAAUUAAACCUGGAUCUCCAGUGUCUGAACAGUUAUCUUCUUGUCUCUUUUUGCCUACCAAACUCUAGAUGCAAGCCAGCAAUGACAGACAAGGAUGUGUGUGGUGGUGUGGCAGACAACAAAGGGAGAAAAUGGGCUGAAGUGAUGUUUCAAUGUAAGAACAUGUGGAAAUGGACAAUCUUGGACCUCUACUGUCCUGUUUAAACCUUGAGGGAAGCUGGCUGGUGGAUUUCAGAGCUGUUUGGGGAAGGGAAGAGAACCAGGAGGACAAAAUAAGGGACUGAGCUCUGUUUCCUUGAGAAAAAUCAUGAGACAUUUCCAAUGAGGAGCCAAGAGGUUCUCAGGUCGGCUGUGAAUGCUGAGUACUGUCUCAGAAGCUGUCUUGGAAGCCUUUCCAUUGAAGGGAAUAAUUAUACUGUGGCAAAAGUAUUUACUUGCCAGCGUUGUCUGCUCCUUUAUCUUUGGGUGCGAGUGCAAUAAGUGAUGUGAAAGAGCUUAUGGUAUGCCCUGCCAGCGAGAGGCCACUGUGGACCUGUAAAAGGUGGCUGAAGAAGCAGCUGAGAACUGAUGGUCGAAAGCAUGAGUAGGCAGCAACGGUGUUGGGAAGGAAAUGUGGGGAAGGCUAAUGCAGAGUGCAGCUGGAGAGGCUGAGGAACGCAUAUCUCCUCUGCCUGAAAGGAGGGGGAAGGUGUUUCUCUGGUGAUGUUAUUCAUGGUUGGAGAUUCACGUGGCAUCUUCAGAAGCCUCCUGUCAUGGAGAAAAUGAUGCUCUGGAGGACAGUCUUGGCCAGGUCCAGCUUGUAUUGACUUUGGGUGGCAUCAGGAUCUGUCUUUAGUUCUGGUCUUCACUAGUGCUUCCCUAUUGCCUGAGCAUCUCCCAGAGCUGGCAGCAGAAGUGAUGGUUUGAGGAUCUCCCUGUCGUGCUGUUUAACGUGCUGGUAAGGAUGGAGGUGUCACAGCUUGUGGACCAGCACCCGAAUGUGCUGGCUGCUGGGAAGCCUGUCAUCCCAUUGCUGUCUCUCAGUGAGCCGUGCCCUGGCACAGGAAUGUCCCUGCUGCCUGGGGCAUGCACACAGAGGUGCUCAAAGACACUGCAGUACCACCCAGGAGGUUACAGUGCCCCAGAACUGCCUGCAUUUGGGGGAGGUUUCUGUGGUCCUCUCCAAGAUUCAGCUGAUUGCUUCUUCAGGCCUGCCAGAGGCUGCAGUCCCCUCCUUACAGCAACACUGGCACUUUCCACAGCAGGGAAAGGGAAACUUGGAGACGUGGCAACCAAUUUGCAAAUAAUAAAACACUUAAAGCUAUAUGAAAAGCAUCUUGCAUGGAAAAUCAGACAGGGCAGGAAAAACAGCACUUACUAUCAACAUAAUGCAGCUGAGAACUCUUUCUGAGAGAUAAUCAUCUCUGACUCCAGCAGUAAAAAUAAAGGACAAAAGCUGGAAGAAGCCAGAAAGCACAGUCGUGGGAGUGAAUCUGGGUGAAAUGAAAAUUAAAAACACAAUGAAAGGCAUAGAAUUGCCUUAAGUAAAAACAGAGCUGUCUGCCUAGAACAACAACUGAGAUUAUAUGGGAAGCACAUGGGGGUGUGGGGAGCCAGGCUGAGCGUGGGGCUGCAGCGGGGCUGGUGCUGUGCCAGUGCUCAGCUGCGAAGUAAGGGAGGGGAAAGAGCCCCUGGCUACGCCUGAGAAACGUCCAGGUGUCCCUCACAGUCUAGGAGACAUUCAGGUUCUUGCUUUUAGCACCCAACCUGAAGGAUAAAGUAAUUUAUGGUCUGUCUGAAGGAUAAUGGCUGAUCCUGGCCACUGCCUGCUUCUGCCUGGUGAAGCUCAUCCCUGAACUGCUGACCUUUAAAUGGACAGCAUGUGCUGAAGUGGCCUUCUACAGCAAAUCUCAGCGAGGCUCGCAUUUAAAGGUCUGUGCAAGUCAGUCCUCAUCCAAAGCUCAAACAACUGAACGGAAGAUUUCCACUGGCACAGAUCCAACCCCCACCAGGCUGUGAUGGCUCAGAGAGGCAGAGCUGCCAGCUGGACCCGGUUGGGAGUAGCCCAUGGAGUUCAUUAUUGUCCCUGCUAUGUGAGAGCACGGUCUUACGCAAAUCAGAGCCACAAAACUGGGCUCUAAAUGUUGUUUCCCACUCCAAAAUGCCAUUUGGAGACCUACAUUUAAAAAUAGGUAUUGCUUUUUAAGUGCUACAGGAGAUGCACAGCCUUUUACCGAAGGAUGCCGACGUAUGGUGUGAAUACAUAUGUCUUGUGACUGUUUCAGGCUGAGCUUGAUGGAUUUGUUACACUAAGUGUCAUAAAAAUCAAACUGCUCAAUGAACUAUCUGCUAUUUCCCACAACACCAAGAAAGCACCUGGGGCCCUUUUGCUCCCCAUAGACAAUGGCACACAAGGGCUUAUGCACCUCUCUUGCUCUGGUGCUGCUGCUGGCUGCUCUCUUCCAGAGAUGCAAAAAAGAGACUCCUAACUACAUGCUAAUUACAUUUUCAAAGCUUCAGCUGAUGUUAAAAUGAUUCAACCAUUGCCUGAACUCACAUACUUCUGUUUGUUGCCUUUUGUGUGCUGUGUGUAGCUUUUCAUAUGACUCUGCCUAUUUUCUACCAAAAUCAUGGUUUGGGAGCUGCUGUACGACAAAGGAUGUUUUUAUCCUUUUUGAAGACCUUUUGAGUUAUCCUUGGCCCCAGCUACCUGAAAUACAGAUUCAUGCACAUAUAUUCUGUCUGCAGGCAAAGAACAGAGGCUGGAAUAGACUUUACAACUGUGGUUCUUAAAUUUUAUAAGUCAAAGGGCUGCCUGACCUUCUGGGGGAAAACAAAAUGCCUGGGAACCAUCAUAUCUGAUGCUUCCAGCCUGGUGUCCAUUUAUGACCAAGUAACUUCUUUAUAGGAUAUUUCUUUUACUAGUUUCGCUUGCCCUUUUGUUUACUUGCUUGUCUUGGUGGGAAUGUGCUCAGUAAAUGUCUUUGUCUCUCUUCAUGGGUCACUGGUGUCUCACCCAGCACCCUUGGGUCUAUACUGAAUGUGGGUCUUCAGCCCUUGUGGCCUCUGCCCCAUCAGUCUUAAUGUGGAGCCUGCUAAGCUGAGGAAAACAGUCACUUCUCUGCAGAUGGUGUGAUGAAAUUAGUCCUUUUCUUAGUUUUUCUUGUUUUCUUGGACAUGCUCA